UAAUCGAUAUGCUAUCGUUACAUCCGCUUUAGGAUAAUACAACCAUUUUUAGUGCAAAAUCACUUUGAAAACAAAACAUCAAAUAAAUACAACUAUAGACAAUAAAACAAGAAUAUAAACCAAGAUUUCUAGCAAAAACAGGUCUCACCCAAACAACAAUUAAUCACAAAAAACACCAUAUAAACCCAAAACAAAACACAUGCUUUCUUUCUUCCUCCCUCUCCAUCUCUUUAUCUCUAUAUCUCAACUCAAACAUCUGCAAGUUUGAGACAAAAAUCAAAUCAGAAAUGUCCUACAAAAUAAUAAUACCAUAUCAAAAGCUAUAUAGGUUAGAAAUUCAGAUCUGCAAGUUUGAUUCCACCAUUGUCGAUACCGUCGCCACUUCCUUCAUUACUUUUUCACCCACGUUGGUGAGUUUGUAGACGUAGAUCUAGAUCUUGAUGUCAUCGUUACCGCCCUCACGGUUGU
This 468-nucleotide long non-coding RNA is filed under the name Linum usitatissimum (flax). Its description in RNAcentral is "long non-coding RNA (LUSI_LNC005297)". The record is from RNAcentral. Lineage: Eukaryota; Viridiplantae; Streptophyta; Magnoliopsida; Malpighiales; Linaceae.